AUUGAACGCUGGCGGCAUGCCUUACACAUGCAAGUCGAACGGUAACAGGUCUUCGGAUGCUGACGAGUGGCGAACGGGUGAGUAAUACAUCGGAACGUGCCUAGUAGUGGGGGAUAACUACUCGAAAGAGUGGCUAAUACCGCAUGAGAUCUACGGAUGAAAGCAGGGGAUCGCAAGACCUUGUGCUACUAGAGCGGCCGAUGGCAGAUUAGGUAGUGGGUGGGAUAAAAGCUUACCAAGCCGACGAUCUGUAGGUGGUCUGAGAGGACGAUCAGCCACACUUGGACUGAGACACGGCCCAGACUCCUACGGGAGGCAGCAGUGGGGAAUUUUGGACAAUGGGCGCAAGCCUGAUCCAGCAAUGCCGCGUGCAGGAUGAAGGCCUUCGGGUUGUAAACUGCUUUUGUACGGAACGAAAAGCCCCGGGUUAAUACCCUGGGGUCAUGACGGUACCGUAAGAAUAAGCACCAGCUAACUACGUGCCAGCCGCCGCGGUAA
RNAcentral lists this ribosomal RNA (498 nucleotides) under uncultured bacterium. RNAcentral's name for it is "partial 16S ribosomal RNA". It matches the Rfam family "Bacterial small subunit ribosomal RNA", at positions 30 to 523 of the family's 1533-position model. The record is from RNAcentral.